ACCAUAAAUACAGCCAUGUUGUAUUCUAUCAUGUUGUGUUCUUAUCUGAUAUGGUUUAUGCCUUUUAUUGUCUUUAGAAUUUCAAUUUGACUACUUAUUGCUCAUUGUUUUUAAUUUUUUGAUUUUCUUUCUUUUUACUCCGAUUUUCCUACCAUUUAGUAUAUUUUACUCCGAUUUUUUCAUUUUCUUUGUAAUUACAAAUUCGAUUUUCUAUAUUUCCAUUGAACCAAUUCCUCUUCUCAAUCUUGAGGCAGUUCACUUUUUACUUUGUUGUUGAUUCUCUAUUAGUUUUACUACUUUAUGAUUUCAUAUAGUUUUUAAUAAGUUCUACGACCAUAAUAUUAAGUUUUCUAUUUGUUAGGAACUUAGGAUUGGCGAUGAUGACAAAAUGAAUAAUCUUAUGAUUAAUAUGAAAAGAGCAUAUACAUGGUAAGGCAACUCGGAUGGCAGUUAUAUAUGCAACCG
This 465-nucleotide long non-coding RNA is filed under the name Ananas comosus (pineapple). RNAcentral's name for it is "long non-coding RNA (ACOM_LNC003183)". The record is from RNAcentral. Lineage: Eukaryota; Viridiplantae; Streptophyta; Magnoliopsida; Poales; Bromeliaceae.